AUUGAACGCUGGCGGCAGGCCUAACACAUGCAAGUCGAGCGGAUGAACGGAGCUUGCUCCUGGAUUCAGCGGCGGACGGGUGAGUAAUGCCUAGGAAUCUGCCUGGUAGUGGGGGAUAACGUCCGGAAACGGGCGCUAAUACCGCAUACGUCCUGAGGGAGAAAGUGGGGGAUCUUCGGACCUCACGCUAUCAGAUGAGCCUAGGUCGGAUUAGCUAGUUGGUGGGGUAAAGGCCUACCAAGGCGACGAUCCGUAACUGGUCUGAGAGGAUGAUCAGUCACACUGGAACUGAGACACGGUCCAGACUCCUACGGGAGGCAGCAGUGGGGAAUAUUGGACAAAGGGCGAAAGCCUGAUCCAGCCAUGCCGCGUGUGUGAAGAAGGUCUUCGGAUUGUAAAGCACUUUAAGUUGGGAGGAAGGGCAGUAAGUUAAUACCUUGCUGUUUUGACGUUACCAACAGAAUAAGCACCGGCUAACUUCGUG
Molecule: ribosomal RNA, 484 nt
Filed under: uncultured bacterium
Lineage: Bacteria
Description: partial 16S ribosomal RNA
Rfam family: Bacterial small subunit ribosomal RNA
Source: RNAcentral